GACGAACGCUGGCGGCGUGCUUAACACAUGCAAGUCGAGCGGUAAGGCCCUUUCGGGGGUACGACGAGCGGCGAACGGGUGAGUAACACGUGGGUGACCCGCCCUCAGCUCUGGGAUAAGCCUGGGAAACCGGGUCUAAUACUGGAUAUGACUCCAUGACGCAUGUUGUGGGGUGGAAAGCCUUGUGCGGCUGAGGAUGGGCCCGCGGCCUAUCAGCUUGUUGGUGGGGUGAUGGCCUACCAAGGCGACGACGGGUAGCCGGCCUGAGAGGGCGACCGGCCACACUGGGACUGAGACACGGCCCAGACUCCUACGGGAGGCAGCAGUGGGGAAUCUUGCGCAAUGGGCGAAAGCCUGACGCAGCGACGCCGCGUGAGGG
Molecule: ribosomal RNA, 379 nt
Filed under: uncultured bacterium
Lineage: Bacteria
Description: bacterial SSU rRNA
Rfam family: Bacterial small subunit ribosomal RNA
Source: RNAcentral